Molecule: ribosomal RNA, 683 nt
Filed under: Mesabolivar cyaneotaeniatus
Lineage: Eukaryota; Metazoa; Arthropoda; Arachnida; Araneae; Pholcidae
Description: eukaryotic LSU rRNA
Rfam family: Eukaryotic large subunit ribosomal RNA
Source: RNAcentral
AUUCCCCUAGAUAACGGCGAGCGAACGGGGAAGAGUCCAGCGCCGAAGUUGGUUCCCCUCCGGGGGUUCGAACAAUGUGGCGUUUGGGAGGGAGCUUUCCCGGGACGGUCGGAGCAGCAAGUCCCCCUGACAGGGGCUCUUACCCARAGCGGGUGCGAGGCCCGUAGUUGCUCCGUCCCCUCGGGAUGCGACCUCUCCGGAGUCGGGUUGCUUGGGAGUGCAGCCCCAAGUUGGUGGUAAACUCCACCUAAGGCUAAAUACGGCCGCGAGACCGAUAGCAAACAAGUACCGUGAGGGAAAGUUGCAAAGAACUUUGAAGAGAGAGUUCAAGAGUACGUGAAACUGCUCARAGGCAAACGGGUGGGCCCUCGAAAUCCUCUUGCGGAGAGAUUCAGUCUGGAGCGGCAGGGGCGGACGCGGGUAACGGACCCUCGAAAAGGACGGGUCCCGCGACGCAGUCCCGGUCGCGCCARACGCACUUCUCCCCGCACUCGGGACGCCGCAACGGAUCGGGUAGCUGCGAGAGUCGGCCUUGAGGCGGUUCCAGGCAGGUGGCCGGGCGCUGGGCUUCGGCCCUUCACCCGGUUAUUCACGGGACCGUUCGUGGCGCGACACCCGAUCGAGGUUAACGUUCCCCCUACGGGGAACCUUCCGUCUCCGUCUUCGGGCGCGGUGCCAGUGCC